Non-coding RNA from Drosophila melanogaster (fruit fly), 389 nucleotides. The record is from Ensembl. Lineage: Eukaryota; Metazoa; Arthropoda; Insecta; Diptera; Drosophilidae.
GAGUUUACAAACACAAAACAGCAUGCCGGGCAAAAGCGCAGCGUGUUGCACUCUCAUACUUACUACGUGUAUACCGUUAUGGCCAAGGCCCCAAACAAACCGCAAAUUCAUGAGCGUGCAACUCAGACGGAGACUUUGUGGAUGUGGAAGUUGCAAAAUCGAGAAUCAUUUGCUGGAGCAGCAAAACGUAAUCUACAGCAUCGUCCUCAUCGCGCUGCUUAAUUACGUGGCUCAAUUGCUCGAAAUUAAUCUGUUUCCGUUUUUGUAAUUAAAUGUGGGGAUUUUCACUAUAAGCAGAUCAAGCAGCAGACGACCACUCAAACCUGACCUUAAUUGCAAUUUGUGCAUAAUUUAUAAUUUAUAUAUUUUGUUGUUCUUCAAGUGCCUUC